AGAGUUUGAUCCUGGCUCAGGAUGAACGCUGGCGGCGUGCUUAACACAUGCAAGUCGAACGAUGAAGCCUCCUGCUUGCAGGGGGUGGAUUAGUGGCGAACGGGUGAGUAUCACGUGAGUAACCUGCCUUGACUCUGGGAUAAGCCUGGGAAACUGGGUCUAAUACCGGAUAUGACCAGUCACCGCAUGGUGUGCUGGUGGAAAGCUUUAGCGGUUUUGGAUGGACUCGCGGCCUAUCAGCUUGACGGUGGGGUAAUGGCCUACCGUGGCGAUGACGGGUAGCCGGCCUGAGAGGGUGACCGGCCACACUGGGACUGAGACACGGCCCAGACUCCUACGGGAGGCAGCAGUGGGGAAUAUUGCACAAUGGGCGAAAGCCUGAUGCAGCGACGCCGCGUGUGGGAUGACGGCCUUCGGGUUGUAAACCACUUUCAGCAGGGAAGAAGCUUUUUGUGACGGUACCUGCAGAAGAAGCGCCGGCUAACUACGUGCCAGCAGCCGCGGUAAUACGUAGGGCGCGAGCGUUAUCCGGAAUUAUUGGGCGUAAAGAGCUCGUAGGCGGUUUGUCGCGUCUGCUGUGAAAGCCCGGGGCUUAACCGGGUGUGCAGUGGGUACGGGCAGACUAGAGUGCAGUAGGGGAGACUGGAAUUCCUGGUGUAGCGGUGAAAUGCGCAGAUAUCAGGAGGAACACCGAUGGCGAAGGCAGGUCUCUGGGCUGUUACUGACGCUGAGGAGCGAAAGCAUGGGGAGCGAACAGGAUUAGAUACCCUGGUAGUCCAUGCCGUAAACGUUGGGCACUAGGUGUGGGGGACAUUCCACGUUUUCCGCGCCGUAGCUAACGCAUUAAGUGCCCGCCUGGGGAGUACGGCCGCAAGGCUAAAACUCAAAGGAAUUGACGGGGGCCCGCACAAGCGGCGGAGCAUGCGGAUUAAUUCGAUGCAACGCGAAGAACCUUACCAAGGCUUGACAUACACCGGACCGCCCUAGAGAUAGGGUUUCCCUUCGGGGCUGGUGUACAGGUGGUGCAUGGUUGUCGUCAGCUCGUGUCGUGAGAUGUUGGGUUAAGUCCCGCAACGAGCGCAACCCUUGUCCUAUGUUGCCAGCACGUAAUGGUGGGGACUCAUGGGAGACUGCCGGGGUCAACUCGGAGGAAGGUGGGGAUGACGUCAAAUCAUCAUGCCCCUUAUGUCUUGGGCUUCACGCAUGCUACAAUGGCCGGUACAGUGGGUUGCGAUACUGUGAGGUGGAGCUAAUCCCUAAAAGCCGGUCUCAGUUCGGAUCGAAGUCUGCAACUCGACUUCGUGAAGUUGGAGUCGCUAGUAAUCGCAGAUCAGCAAUGCUGCGGUGAAUACGUUCCCGGGCCUUGUACACACCGCCCGUCAAGUCACGAAAGUUGGUAACACCCGAAGCCGGUGGCCCAACCCUUGUGGGGGGAGCCGUCGAAGGUGGGACUAGCGAUUGGGACUAAGUCGUAACAAGGUAGCCGUACCGGAAGGUGCGGCUG
RNAcentral lists this ribosomal RNA (1504 nucleotides) under Nesterenkonia sp. JCM 19054. Its description in RNAcentral is "bacterial SSU rRNA". It matches the Rfam family "Bacterial small subunit ribosomal RNA". The record is from RNAcentral. Lineage: Bacteria; Bacillati; Actinomycetota; Actinomycetes; Micrococcales; Micrococcaceae.